RNAcentral lists this ribosomal RNA (416 nucleotides) under uncultured Glomeromycotina. RNAcentral's name for it is "SSU rRNA". It matches the Rfam family "Eukaryotic small subunit ribosomal RNA", at positions 569 to 991 of the family's 1831-position model. Lineage: Eukaryota; Fungi; Glomeromycota. The record is from RNAcentral.
AGCAGCCGCGGUAAUUCCAGCUCCAAUAGCGUAUAUUAAAGUUGUUGCAGUUAAAAAGCUCGUAGUUGAAUUUCGGGAUCAAGGAAUCGGUCAUGCCUUGGUAUGUACUGGUUUUAUUGGUUCUCACCUUCUAAAGAACCAUAAUGUCAUUUAUUUGAUGUUAUGGGGAAUUAGGACUGUUACCUUGAAAAAUUAGAGUGUUUAAAGCAAGCUUACGCUUGAAUACAUUAGCAUGGAAUAAUGAAAUAGGACAUCAGAUUCUAUUUUGUUGGUUUCUAGGAUCGAUGUAAUGAUUAAUAGGGAUAGUUGGGGGCAUUAGUAUUCAAUUGUCAGAGGUGAAAUUCUUGGAUUUAUUGAAGACUAACUACUGCGAAAGCAUUUGCCAAGGAUGUUUUCAUUAAUCAAGAACGAAAGUU